This 253-nucleotide unclassified non-coding RNA is filed under the name uncultured Planctomycetia bacterium. Its description in RNAcentral is "contains 16S-23S intergenic spacer region". It matches the Rfam family "Bacterial small subunit ribosomal RNA", at positions 524 to 776 of the family's 1533-position model. Lineage: Bacteria; Pseudomonadati; Planctomycetota; Planctomycetia. The record is from RNAcentral.
GACGAACCGUGCUAACGUUGUUCGGAAUCACUGGGCUUAAAGGGCGCGUAGGCGGCUCGCCAAGUCAGAGGUGAAAUCUUUCGGCUUAACCGGAAAAGUGCCUUUGAUACUGGCGGGCUCGAGGGAGGUAGGGGCAGAUGGAACUUCCGGUGGAGCGGUGAAAUGUGUUGAUAUCGGAAGGAACGCCGGUGGCGAAAGCGAUCUGCUGGAUCUCUACUGACGCUGAGGCGCGAAAGCCAGGGUAGCGAACGGG